RNAcentral lists this long non-coding RNA (2877 nucleotides) under Homo sapiens (human). RNAcentral describes it as "HSALNT0020955". Lineage: Eukaryota; Metazoa; Chordata; Mammalia; Primates; Hominidae. The record is from RNAcentral.
CUGGCAUCUACCACCCCGCAUAGCCCUCCAAACCACUCCCACUUUAUCUGCAUUCUGAUCCCAUUUCUUCUUUGUAAUUUAAAUUUUAAUUACACAAGUGAUAUAAUGUUCUUUAAAAAUAAACUUAUAGAGAAGACUAAAGUCCCCUUUAUCAGUUCCUCCAAUCUUCCUCCUUCCCCCUUGCCCAGGUAGCAUGGCUCAGUGCUUGAGGAGUAUACUUCCAGAUUUCUAAACUGCUUUGCUGAUUUGAUCUGGGGCCCUGGAGUGCCAACAUCCUGUGAUAGCGGCUGAUUGUUGAUGCCUGGGAGGAUACAGCAGUGACGAUCCAAAUUUACAAGACUCAACAUGGUUUUCAAAACUUCCUUUUAAAAAAGAUGUUCCUGAGUUCUGGAAUCUGAACAAAAUAUGUCUGGUUAUUAUAUAAUUCUAAUGGUCCUUGUGGAUGCUACCAUUAGAGUUCAGUUAGUGUCUCAUCUAUCACUGUAAUAUUUGUAUUGUAACACUAAUCGUGGCAAAGUAUGAUUUGAUAAAUGCUCAUUCUCAAAUCUUUUAUUUUAGUGUGUUCAUGUAAGAUUAAUGACCAUGAUGACUUGAGAUAGAAUUUUUUGAUUUGUUGCUUUCUUUGUGUCUUCCAAUAUCACACAGAUUUGCAAAGAUAUCUAUGGCACAAGGGGAGAAAAUAAUAACUUAACUAGAGGAUAGGAGUAAGGCCUUCUAUUAACAAGACACUGUUGACAUUUCUAGGUAGAUUUCAGAAUUCUCCAGGCAUGCCUGGUAGAAAUUUUAGAAAUAAAAGCCAGGAAAGAAAGGCAGAAAGACUAUGUUGGGACAUUAGCAAUUUCUUCCUACCACAAUAUUUCUUUAUUCACUGUAAGUAAAUCUAAUGCUAAUUUAUUUAUCUGUCUAUCCUUUGAAUUACAAUUUAAAAUGUCAUAAAACAAAGAUUCAGAUAAGAUAGCUGAUUUGCUCAUAUUGAACGUCACAUUGAUUUUCACCAUCUGAGGCCCAUUGACAUCGUAUGGAUAUUAGAGAACCUGGAAUCACCAAGAUGGGGUUCUCCCACUGUUGUCUUCAUGAUCCAUGAUCAUUUGUACACAGUAAAUAUUUAUUUGAGUACAAUGACUUUACAAAUGAUACAUGCAGAUUCUGUAUACAAGGCUGAGAGUGAGUAGACCCAAUUUCAAACAAAAGGUUAUAUAUGUGACCAGUGAGAGUUUUCUAUCAUUCUCUAGGAGGCUAGACUAGGCAGAGUGCAAUUUAGGCCCCUGUGUGGUAAGGUGAGUUUUAAAAUUCCUCCUUUAUUUUCUCACUUGUUUUGGACAGCCAGGACCCAAAACAAAGCUAUUUAUUUGAAACCUCUCUCCUCUCUCUCUUCUUCCUCUUUCAUCAAUUUGAUUCCCUUUUUAUUAUCAUUAUUUAUGUUUUGUAUAACUAGAAAAAUAAUUUGUCAUGGAUUACAUCUUAUUUGCAAGAGGCUCUAGUAAGAUGGCAACAAGGCAUGCACAAUAUAUCAUAAUUUAGCAGCUUCUCUUGUAACUAUACUAAACUAGUGGUGGAAGAAAAUACAUAUAAACAACUCCGACAACAGAUUUUGAAUGAUCCAGUAACUUUGAUUUAUAUUUGGUAUUUGAUGGAACUGUAUUAGCAGUUAAAGCCAAUGGCUAAAUGAUUCCCAACACAAAAUGAGUCAGAAGUACAAAAGAAGCUUUACAAUGCACAAUAGAGAGCUCUGAGCCUCCCAGCUUAAAUUUCCAAAUUGCAGUGUAAAUUACAGGACUGCUUGUCAAUUUUAACUAACAGUUCUACCCAAUAGGGUCUAGCUAGGUAAUUCAUCCAUUAUUCCUUUAUGAAACAGUAAACACCAGCUAAAUUCCAUUGGCUUUUCUAAAUAAAAUUGCCUCAUCUCUCAUAUCUACUGCAGAGAAGGAGUGAAUCAACCUCUGACGACAGUAAGUCCCACACAACAAACAACAUGUGAAACCUGGAAUUAGUUAAAAAUGCUUUCCAUAUUUGUUAAUAGAAUUGGGUGCCAAUCAUCUUGAGAUGAUCUCAACCUUCCCAAGUUCUUUUGGUGGAAGGACUCUCACAUUCUUCUAUUUCCCCUCCUUACCCUAUAUUUUCUCUCAUCCCCAAAUAACUAUUUUCUCUUCACUUGUUUCCUCUAUGGCUUUCCCUGUCACAAAGAAGAAAUGAAUGAAAGAUUUGGAAGUCAAAAUCUAGCACUCCAAUUACCAACAUUAGCAGGAAGAGAAGAAUGUUCCAAAUAUCAACAAGAAUCUCAAAUCUAACCAAGCAAAAUAUGCAAUUAUGUAGGCAGAUGCUGGCUCAUCAGCCACUGAUAUAGACUGAUUUCUACCACUUCAUUAAUUUGACUUUCUUACUCUGGGCAAUUUGAUCAUACCCAUACAGCAUAUUUCUUAGCCAGAAAUAGAUUUGAUUGUUCUAGGCCAGGUGGGAAAGCCAAUAGAUUUGCACAAAUGCUUCACAGGGCAUCUGUAUUAUAGCAGGGAUGUGGGAAGUUUUAUUGUAGAGUUUGGAAGUGGACUGCUGAAUUCUCUUCCUUUAACCUAAUCAUGUCAUUCACGUGUGGAGCAUAGUCAGUCUUUACAUGUAUCUAUUGGUCUUUAUUGUUCAAUUUUUUUUUUUUUUUUUGAGAUGGAAUCUUGCUCUGUCACCCAGGCUGGAGUGCAGUGGCAUGAUCUCAGCUCACUGCAAAUUCCACCCACCAGAUUCAAGUGAUUCUCAUGCCUUAUCCUCUUGAGUAGUUGAGAUUACAGGUGCAUAUUGUCACACCUGGCUAAUUUUCGUAUUUUUAGUAGAGACGAGGUUUUGCCAUGUUGGCCAUGCUAGUCUGAAACUCCUGAACUCAAGUGAUCC